RNAcentral lists this ribosomal RNA (253 nucleotides) under uncultured bacterium. RNAcentral's name for it is "partial 16S ribosomal RNA". It matches the Rfam family "Bacterial small subunit ribosomal RNA", at positions 524 to 776 of the family's 1533-position model. The record is from RNAcentral.
UACAGAGGUGGCAAGCGUUGUUCGGAAUUACUGGGCGUAAAGGGCGCGUAGGCGGUCCGAUAAGUCCCGUGUGAAAUCCCUCGGCUCAACUGAGGAAUGGCACGGGAAACUGCCGGGCUUGAGUUCGGGAGAGGGAAGCGGAAUUCCGGGUGUAGCGGUGAAAUGCGUAGAUAUCCGGAGGAACACCGGUGGCGAAGGCGGCUUCCUGGACCGACACUGACGCUGAGGCGCGAAAGCUAGGGGAGCAAACGGG